CCAAAAGAUUCAAAGCUACAAAGGCUCAAGGUUAAAUUUUCAAAAGGCACAAAGAAUAUCAGCCAAAAAUCUAGAUAGGCAUAUUUCUCCAGAUCUUAAAUUUUCAUAUUCCAUUGGAUGAAGGCAAUGCCCAGCUAUCUCAUCAAUUUGAAUAGAGAAACAAACGGACCAGUGACUGUACAAGAUGGUCAGAAGAUAGGAUCAGAUUAAUCAAAAAAAGUCAUACUGAAAUCAAAGUGAAGCCAUAGGAAUAAAUCCCUGGUUGAGUAGUGGGCAGAUUCAAUAUUCCCCUUAGUGUCAAAUAUGGUUUCUAGGAAUAAAUAUUGAAGAUUCUCUAUCUAUGUUUUCUCUAUUUCAAGUUCAUCAAAAUCCAUUAGUUCAUGUACACGAGUUGAUCAAAUACCUGUCAAAAAAAUCAGCCGAUUACCCUCAUUUCAAAUUUGAGCCAAAUCCUACUUUUGGAGAUUGGUCAACAAUUUAAGUCCUACCAUAGGAGAUUAGUCCAAAUCAGCUAAAGCGUCAAAAUUGGUCAGCUUAAGUCCCAAUAAAAGUUUCGAACAUAGGAUCAGAUUAAUCGAUCUUGACCCAGAUCUACAAGACUAAACUUCUUCAUGAUUUAGUCAAUCUUGACGUGGAUCGAUCAUCCUGCAAUAGAAAUUUCAAAAGGCAAUGGGUCAUUUAAGAAUAAUUCAUCUAGUGUAAAAAUACAAAAUAGAAUAAAAUACUAGAUCACUGGCUAAUAGAAAAAUGAAUAAAUGAGAUCUUUGCUUACUUCAUGUGAGAAUCUUCUCACUAUCAGUGGCAUUAGGAUUCCAAAUAGGGGCCAUUCAAAUAAGAAAAGUCUAAAUUUAAGGCCAAAGGAUGCAAGGGCUACACUGAUAAGCAACUUUGCAUGCCUUCAUAUUCUGCUCAUCUCAUAUAUUUUUUAGGCUCAACAAUCCUUUUCUUCUGUUUGAUUAUGUAUUAACAGAUUAGUAUGAAUUGUGGAUUAAUCACAAACCAACCUUUAGGCCUAGAAAGCAUAAUAAUUUUAAGUAUUU
Molecule: long non-coding RNA, 1040 nt
Filed under: Spirodela polyrhiza (greater duckweed)
Lineage: Eukaryota; Viridiplantae; Streptophyta; Magnoliopsida; Alismatales; Araceae
Description: long non-coding RNA (SPOL_LNC000082)
Source: RNAcentral